AUAAGCAAUGGAGGAUUCUGAGAGCUUCUCUGUCAUUUUUUAUUUUCUUAGUUGUUAGUGGGCUGAUAACCGCACUCCUGACAUGGCUAAAUGGAAACAUGUCUAACACCAUUUGAGUGAUAAGGAGGAAGAUCAAAAACCUGUGAUACACUUUCUGUAAAUGGGCAUUUCACCACUCAACUGAAAGCUCAUUCCUCUUCUGAGGUGAUUACCAGAAUUAUAUAGUCCCUAACCUGCACAGUGAGUGACGGUCCAGUGACUGCAGUCAACAUCCAUCUUGGAAAAAGAAUUAAACUUAUUGGUUUGUGUUUUCUGCUACUUCUUGCCAGAAGAUGACAAAAGAUAUCCUUACAUCUGGGAUUCAACUGAAAGAGACAGCACUCAACUCAAUAAUCAGUUUGGGAUGAAAGGACUGCUUUAACACAGCACGCUUGACUGGAGAAAUCUGGCAGAGUUACUGGGAGCCAAUUGAAAGUUGGUAUAAGCUACAUCACUUCCUAGUAGUUGCCCUUCAUAUAGUCUUUGGUGGCAUUAUUAGUUUUAGGGUGAUUCAGCCUUUACCCAAACUGCAGAAGCUGCUGCCUCCUGAGCAUCAUGAUCCAAGCCAUCUCUGGUGCUGUGCCAUCCGCCUGAUAAAUAACGGAGCCAACUUAAAAGUCCCUUUCUGCCCUGCUCUCUCUGAGCUGAGCAGUGGCUUUACUCUGGAGCAGGAUUACGUGCUCCUGCGGUAGGGAGGGUGCCAGGAGUCAUAUUCAAUGUUCUUGGCUGCUCCUACAACAUUACUAAUGUUCAGAUAAGCAUUGCUGGUAUUUCUGCAGCACUGAUUUCUUUCACACACCACACAGAUGUUUCAAGAAGGUCUACACUUGUUCUUGUGAUGUGCUUCUAUGGAAUAUCAGAACAAAAUCCAUUAGAGACAUGCCCUUGCUAAUGAGAGUAAGUAGUUUUCCAAAGCUACGUUUAUUGAGUAGUUUUGUUCUAGUAAUAUAAAGAAAAAUCAUACGCAACACAUCUGCACAAUUCUGUUUGAAUCCAUAUAGAAGAGAGAGGUUUGGAAGGUCGCUUUUCUUUUCUUUCCAUUAUUCUUUCUCCCAACCUCUGUGCCGUGAAUUCUAUGCUUAAGAAAUUAAAUACAAACCAGGAUAUAAGUCAAACAGUUUAAAACCAAAAUUUCUCACUGCUCAGCUGUCUAAAACUGUUGAGCUACAGAAAUGAUGAAGAGAAAAGAAAGAACAAACUAAAUCACUAGUUAAAAUUGUAAAUUUGGCAGUUAAUGAUGAGAUCCAGAUGCUAAGAUGGUCCAUUUGUAUUUGCCUGCCUAAUUGAUUUUUAUUUUGAUUUCUUGCUUCCAUUUUUUAUAUUAUUUUUUCCUCCCCAGUAAACUCAGAUUUUCUUCAGAGAGACAACUGUUACUGAUUGGGUUUUUUACCACUUUUCACUUGUAGGGUUUUUAAUAAAUUUACAGAUACUGUGCUAACGUGGGAGAAAUGAAUACUUUAUAGAAGCACAGUGUGUAAGGAGAAGAAAUCACCAUUUUGUGAAUACUGGCAGAUCAGGCUUUUACUGGUAGAAAAUAGUGGAAAAAAAUACUUUUAUGUUCCAUAAUCCUCUUUAUCUGCCUUCAUACUUUGUAAAGGGUGUCUUUCUGUUCACUUUCUAUCUUUCUUCUUCUCUUUCUUCUAACAAAUAAAUUAUUACAAGUCUAGUCAGCAGAAAAAUGCAUGCUGAAGUGACUGAUACUCUAUCAGACUCAGGUAUCUUCUGUCUUAACUUCGGUCUCCCUUCUGCUUCCUUCUUCAUUUUUCAGUAUUGGUAUCCUGUUCAUCAUCCCAAAUCCUAAAGGCAGGGUCAGUUGAGGAAAUAAAACGCCUGAUUUACUGGAAGAGGUGAUAACUUCAUUACAUCAAAUAACACAGGUGGAGUGCAAAAAUGGAAGAGCUUAGGGACACAAACAGUCGGUGGUUUUGGCAGCCCAGGAGACAGGAGUCUUUUUCCCUAAAAACCUGACAUUCAACUCCAUCUGUGUCACUGUGUAACAGUGGAUCCUAUCAACCAUUGUAUUUUACUAGGAGCUCUUUUACCACCACCUCUGAAAGUGAGCAUCAGAUAUCUUUGCCUUAUUGUACUUUCAAUUCAGUCUUUAUUCCUCCACUGUUUGUUUCUUUUCUGUUUAUCUAGGUAACUUGAUAACUUGUGAUCAACAUGAGGCCCAGUGGUGAAGACAAAUACAGUUUUUCCAUUCUCUCUAAUAAAGUAGACUCUACUAACAUCCUUUACUUCUUCCAUCUCUGCAAUUUCACAUCUCUCCAUUUCAGUGUUGGAUGACACUUCUUUGAGAAUGUCUGAUGAAACUUGAUACAGGUAUCACAUGAAUGCCAGGUUAUAUCCCAUUAUGUCAUGUACAUAUGUUUAGUUUUUCAAACACCGGCAAAAGAUCCAAUUGCUUUGAAAGACAGAAGUGGAAAGUGAGACUACCAUUUUUAGGCAGGCAAUUAAACUCAACUGGUUGCAUUUUGAGAUUAAUGGUACAAUGAAACAGUCUUGUUGCUUAAUCCACUGAAA
Non-coding RNA from Meleagris gallopavo (turkey), 2562 nucleotides. The record is from RefSeq and is a predicted model, not a curated record. Lineage: Eukaryota; Metazoa; Chordata; Aves; Galliformes; Phasianidae.